UUUUGUUUGCUUUGGCCAUUGCUGUCUUAUUCAUGUUGGCUGAGAAAGACUCAUAGGGUGUUAAAAUAGAAGCACCUUUACUUAAUUUGCAACUGAGGAAGGAAAUAUAGAAAGACGAAGUGACUAGUGACUGCCAACAUGACUCAGCUUUAUAAGAGCCAGGCCCUUAUCAUACAUUAUCCCAGUCCUUAAAACAGCUCCCGAAGCUUGGUAUUAAGUAGCUCCACGCCACAGAAAACACGGAAUCAGAAGCAGCCAGCGUCACUCAGACAUUUAAAAUUAACUCGCUGUUCCCAGAAAUGGAACCUGAAUGUCUCAAGAAAAAGCGACUAUCCCCUAUGCAAGCAGACUCUGGAGAGCUAAAUCUGACUGGAAACCCUCCUGCAGUUUUAUUGCUGUCAUGAUCAGGCUGGUCUUGAACUCACAGAGCUACACCUGCUACUGCCUCCUGAGUUCUGG
Molecule: long non-coding RNA, 459 nt
Organism: Nannospalax galili (Upper Galilee mountains blind mole rat)
Lineage: Eukaryota; Metazoa; Chordata; Mammalia; Rodentia; Spalacidae
Exons: 3
Source: RefSeq, a predicted model, not a curated record